RNAcentral lists this microRNA precursor (81 nucleotides) under Ornithorhynchus anatinus (platypus). Its description in RNAcentral is "microRNA oan-mir-26 precursor (oan-mir-26-1)". Its record names the gene oan-mir-26-1. It matches the Rfam family "mir-26 microRNA precursor family". Rfam says of the family: The hairpin precursors (represented here) are predicted based on base pairing and cross-species conservation -- their extents are not known. In this case the mature sequence is excised from the 5' arm of the hairpin. The record is from miRBase by way of RNAcentral. Lineage: Eukaryota; Metazoa; Chordata; Mammalia; Monotremata; Ornithorhynchidae.
GGCUCCCGCCCGGUUCAAGUAAUCCAGGAUAGGCUGUCGGCACCACGGCCUGUCCUCGGUUACUUGUCUCGGGAGGUGGCC